GGGGCAGCAUGGUCUUAGCUUGCUAAGACUGAUGGCGACCGGCGCACGGGUGAGUAACACGUAUCCAACCUGCCGUCUACUCUUGGACAGCCUUCUGAAAGGAAGAUUAAUACAAGAUGGCAUCAUGAGUCCGCAUGUUCACAUGAUUAAAGGUAUUCCGGUAGACGAUGGGGAUGCGUUCCAUUAGAUAGUAGGCGGGGUAACGGCCCACCUAGUCUUCGAUGGAUAGGGGUUCUGAGAGGAAGGUCCCCCACAUUGGAACUGAGACACGGUCCAAACUCCUACGGGAGGCAGCAGUGAGGAAUAUUGGUCAAUGGGCGAGAGCCUGAACCAGCCAAGUAGCGUGAAGGAUGACUGCCCUAUGGGUUGUAAACUUCUUUUAUAAAGGAAUAAAGUCGGGUAUGUAUACCCGUUUGCAUGUACUUUAUGAAUAAGGAUCGGCUAACUCCGUGCCAGCAGCCGCGGUAAUACGGAGGAUCCGAGCGUUAUCCGGAUUUAUUGGGUUUAAAGGGAGCGUAGAUGGAUGUUUAAGUCAGUUGUGAAAGUCUGCGGCUCAACCGUAAAAUUGCAGUUGAUACUGGAUAUCUUGAGUGCAGUUGAGGCAGGCGGAAUUCGUGGUGUAGCGGUGAAAUGCUUAGAUAUCACGAAGAACUCCGAUUGC
This 661-nucleotide ribosomal RNA is filed under the name uncultured Bacteroidales bacterium. RNAcentral describes it as "bacterial SSU rRNA". It matches the Rfam family "Bacterial small subunit ribosomal RNA", at positions 66 to 716 of the family's 1533-position model. Lineage: Bacteria; Pseudomonadati; Bacteroidota; Bacteroidia; Bacteroidales. The record is from RNAcentral.